Molecule: ribosomal RNA, 467 nt
Filed under: uncultured bacterium
Lineage: Bacteria
Description: partial 16S ribosomal RNA
Rfam family: Bacterial small subunit ribosomal RNA
Source: RNAcentral
GACGAACGCUGGCGGCGUGCUUAACACAUGCAAGUCGAACGGAAAGGCCCUGCUUUUGUGGGGUGCUCGAGUGGCGAACGGGUGAGUAACACGUGAGUAACCUGCCCUUGACUUUGGGAUAACUUCAGGAAACUGGGGCUAAUACCGGAUAGGAGCUCCUGCUGCAUGGUGGGGGUUGGAAAGUUUCGGCGGUUGGGGAUGGACUCGCGGCUUAUCAGCUUGUUGGUGGGGUAGUGGCUUACCAAGGCUUUGACGGGUAGCCGGCCUGAGAGGGUGACCGGCCACAUUGGGACUGAGAUACGGCCCAGACUCCUACGGGAGGCAGCAGUGGGGAAUAUUGCACAAGGGGCGGAGGCCUGAUGCAGCAACGCCGCGUGCGGGAUGACGGCCUUCGGGUGGUAAACAGCUUUCGCCUGUGACGAAGCGUGAGGGACGGGAAUGGGGAAAGAAGCACCGGCGAACUACGG